GGCGACGUGGCGGAGUGGUUACGCAGCGGAUUGCAAAUCCGUCCACCCCGGUUCGAUUCCGGGCGUCGCCU
Molecule: transfer RNA, 71 nt
Filed under: Rubrimonas cliftonensis
Lineage: Bacteria; Pseudomonadati; Pseudomonadota; Alphaproteobacteria; Rhodobacterales; Paracoccaceae
Rfam family: tRNA
About the family: Transfer RNA (tRNA) molecules are approximately 80 nucleotides in length. Their secondary structure includes four short double-helical elements and three loops (D, anti-codon, and T loops). Further hydrogen bonds mediate the characteristic L-shaped molecular structure. tRNAs have two regions of fundamental functional importance: the anti-codon, which is responsible for specific mRNA codon recognition, and the 3' end, to which the tRNAs corresponding amino acid is attached (by aminoacyl-tRNA synthetases). tRNAs cope with the degeneracy of the genetic code in two manners: having more than one tRNA (with a specific anti-codon) for a particular amino acid; and 'wobble' base-pairing, i.e. permitting non-standard base-pairing at the 3rd anti-codon position.
Source: Rfam by way of RNAcentral